RNAcentral lists this ribosomal RNA (1275 nucleotides) under Triticum aestivum (bread wheat). RNAcentral describes it as "partial small subunit ribosomal RNA". Lineage: Eukaryota; Viridiplantae; Streptophyta; Magnoliopsida; Poales; Poaceae. The record is from RNAcentral.
AUGACCGUAAUAGAUUUCAUAGAUCUGAGUGAUCAUGAUAUUAUUGACUUGAGCAGCAGCGAUGACGAGGCUGUUCAGGAGGAUCAGAUUGCAACUCAGCACCGGGCGGCGUCGCUUGAUAAGCAGGAUGUGUUUGUCCUAGCUGGUGAAGGAAGCCGAGCGGUGCAGGCCGUGUUUGUUGCAGCUGGUGAAGGAAGUCAAGAUGAGCAGGCCGUGUUUGUUGCAGCCAGUGAAGGAAGUCAAGAUAGGCAGGCUAUGUUUGUUGCAGCUAGUGAAGGAAGGCAAGAGGCUUCUGAGCCCGGACAUGCUUUGGAAGCUACCGCAUCGUCCAUGAUUAUGGAGGAAGCACCUCUUGUUGCAGCUACUAAAGGAAGUCAAGAUGUGCAUCCUGUGUUUGUUGCAGCUAGUGAAGGAAGGCAAGAGACUACUGAGUCCGGACAUGCUUUGGAAGCAACCGCCAAGUCAGUGCGUGUGAAGGCGAAAUAUCAUAAGAAGAACUACCAUACCGGCACUCCUAGGAAAAGUCCUAGGCUUAUACAGAUGGGUGAAUGUUGUACCAGUCCUGUGGAAGAGCCAGCAGCCGAUUACAAGAGGUCUCGCAUGCUCGGGCCAGCAGAAGAAUUAGCUGCCUCUACCGACUCAGCUGAAACGGCUGUCCUCACUAUGCCACAUGUUGGAUCAGCGAGUUGUCUUCGUUCUCCAACAUCAGCGAUAUUCGCCGGCCCGACUUUCAUCACUCCGAAAGCUCAGACUUCUGAAGGUGGCGACGCAAAGUCAGUGAGUGUGAAGACAAAAUAUCGUAAGAACUACCAUACCAACACUCCUAGGAGAAGUCCUAGGCUCAUACAGAUGGGUGGAUGUUGUACCAGUCCUGUGGAAGAGCCAACAGCCGACCACAAGAGGUCUCGCACGCUCGGGCCAGCAGAAGAAUCAGUUGCCUCUAUCGACUCAGCUGAAACGGUUGUCCUCGCUCUGCCACAUGCUGGAUCUACGAAUUGUCUUCGCUCUCCAACAUCAGCGACAUUCCCCAGCCUGAUUUCCACCAGUCCUACAGCUGUGACUUCUGAAGGUGGCGAUGCAAAGCUGGUGAGAGUGAAGGCGAAACAUCCUGAGAGGAACUACCAUAUCUUGUCCUUGGUUAGGGAAAAAUCACCUCUUGGUCCGACCUCCACCAGUCCGAAGGCUCUCUUCUCAGAAGAUGGCGACGCAAAGCUGGUGACCGGGAAGGUGAAACGUCGUAGGAAGAACUGUCGACCCUGCAAACUAACUCCUUAG